This 219-nucleotide long non-coding RNA is filed under the name Monodelphis domestica (gray short-tailed opossum). RNAcentral's name for it is "lncRNA (ENSMODG00000044290.1)". Lineage: Eukaryota; Metazoa; Chordata; Mammalia; Didelphimorphia; Didelphidae. The record is from RNAcentral.
UCCCUUCUCCCUUCCCCCUCAUCAGUUGGUUCCUUCAGUUGAUGGCAUUGGAAGACAACUCUGAGUAUUUUGACUUAUGCAGAUUCUACAGAUCUGUGAGGAAACUGAUGCUGAGAGCUUACAUGCUUUGUUCAGUCACACACCAACUAUCUGAGACAGUGUUUGAACUCAAGCUUUCCUGACUUCAAGUCCAUCACAUUAUCCACUAGACCACCCGAG